Long non-coding RNA from Bos indicus x Bos taurus (hybrid cattle), 1341 nucleotides. NCBI's taxonomy places the organism in Eukaryota, Metazoa, Chordata, Mammalia, Artiodactyla, Bovidae. The record is from Ensembl.
AUGCACAGGCUUCUGGCCCACCGUCUCCAUCCCAGCCUGGGUGGGUGGGCUGUCCAGCCUCUGCCAGGUCCCCUGGCCCGACACUGCUCACGCUUUUCCACAGCCCCGAGCCCGCCCGGCCACCGUCACUGGCAUCGUCACAGUGCCUCCCCUCCAUGCCCCCUGCUCCGCAUCCAAGGUCACCUCCACCCACCCUUAAGGCAGGGCCCCACAGGACCCCCCAUCGAGCCCAGUUUCCAAGCGGAGGGCCUGGUGCUGAGCAGCCACAAGCCGAGGAGGGGCGGAGACGGUGCAGCCCCCCAGCGGCAUGGCUGUCUGUGCCCCUCCUGUGCUGCCCCCGGCCCGUCGCCUCCCCCCACCUGCUCAGAAGAACAGAUGUCUGCGCCCUCCCCACCUGGCCCGGCCACCUGGCCUCCCAGCACCUGCCCCCAGGUCCCGUCCUCUCCUGCCUCUGAACCCUCGCGGGGGAACAGGCACCGUGGCAGACAGCUGCUGAGGGGAGCCUGGGCACGGCCAGCGGGCAUGCCAGCGGCACUGCAGCUGACGAUGCCAACAGGGAGGAAGGCGCAGGGCUUGGCCCCGGGGCUCCCCAGAGCAGGGGAGCGCGUUCCCAGGGUGCUGGCCGUGGCGGGGGGUGUGGGGCCUGCCGGCACUUGGAGGAGCGUCACUUUCGGGUCCCAGGCCUCCUGGGCCACCAUGCCCCCGGCCUGCCUCCUCCCUCCUGCAGCCGCCCCUACCCAGCCCUGGGGGGCUGUGGAGGGUGGGAGGUGGUGGGCAAACCCCAGCAACCGCAGAGGAGUCCAGGGAUGGCUGAUUGGAGGGCCAGGACCCGGCGGGGACAGUUCAGAGAGGAAACCCACUGCUCUGACUCGAUGUCCAGGCUGCCCGGCCCCAGCUCCAGCUGGGCCAGCAGGUAGCCCCGUAGAGAAGUCUGGCUCUGGGGCAACCAGAGCCCGCCUCCCUGAGCUGGGAUUCAAAUGGGUUCAUUUUCACCAGUUGGGACAGAAAUCUGUGUGCAGAGAAAGCCCAUUUCCUUGCCUUCUUCAGCAGACAGGUGGGGCCUCAAAAACUAGGUUCUGGAGCCAAUUCCAGUGUGAGCGCGUGUGCCCAUGCGCAUGCAUGCAUGAACGUGCGUUGUGCGGGUGUGCGUGUGUGUGCACGUGUGUGCACCUGUUUAUACGUGUGUGCACGUGUGUGUGCACGUGUGUGUGCGUGCGUGUGUGUCUUGGGGGGAAGGUGUUCCCACCCCUCCAACAAGCAGUGCUCCAGUACCAGCUGGGUGGUACAACUCAAUCCCAUUCUGACACUGUCUACCCAGACAAAGCUCAGACCCACAUUUAA